This 74-nucleotide transfer RNA is filed under the name Clostridium sp. CAG:448. It matches the Rfam family "tRNA". From Rfam's summary of the family: Transfer RNA (tRNA) molecules are approximately 80 nucleotides in length. Their secondary structure includes four short double-helical elements and three loops (D, anti-codon, and T loops). RNAcentral also lists the same sequence under 1 other name. Lineage: Bacteria; Bacillati; Bacillota; Clostridia; Eubacteriales; Clostridiaceae. The record is from Rfam by way of RNAcentral.
CUACCCGUAGCCCAGCUGGAUAGAGCGUUCGGCUCCGACCCGGAAGGUCGCAGGUUCGAAUCCUGUCGGGUAGG